Molecule: ribosomal RNA, 492 nt
Filed under: uncultured bacterium
Lineage: Bacteria
Description: partial 16S ribosomal RNA
Rfam family: Bacterial small subunit ribosomal RNA
Source: RNAcentral
AGUGAACGCUGGCGGUAGGCCUAACACAUGCAAGUCGAACGGCAGCACAGUAAGAGCUUGCUCUUACGGGUGGCGAGUGGCGGACGGGUGAGGAAUACAUCGGACUCUACUUUUUCGUGGGGGAUAACGUAGGGAAACUUACGCUAAUACAGCAUAUGCUCUACGGGUGAAAGCAGGGGAUCUUCGGACCUUUCGCGAUUGAAUGAGCCGAUGUCGGAUUAGCUAGUUGGCGGGGUAAAGGCCCACCCUGGCGACGAUCCGUAGCCGAUCUGAGAGGAUGAUCGGCCACACUGGAGCGGAGACACGGUCCAGACGCCUACGAGAGGCAGCAGUGGGGAAUAUUGGACAAUGGGCGCAAGCCUGAUCCAGCCAGACCGCGUGGGUGAAGAAGGCCUUCGGGUUGUAAAGCCCGUUUGUUGGGAAAGAAAAGCAGCAGGUUAAUACCCCGCUGUUCUGACGGUACCCAAUGAAUAAGCACCGGCUAACUUCGUG